Molecule: long non-coding RNA, 2020 nt
Organism: Oncorhynchus tshawytscha (Chinook salmon)
Lineage: Eukaryota; Metazoa; Chordata; Actinopteri; Salmoniformes; Salmonidae
Source: Ensembl
UUCUGAUAAGUUCCAGAUAUUUAGUUUAUCUUUAAAUGUUAAAAAAUCUACAUUUUAUUGUGUUCACUAGUAAGAAUGAGAAAUGAUGUGUUACAUAAUUAAAACAUAAUAAUAAUAAAAGAGUGAAUCUGAAUGUUUGGGAAUGAAAUGGAUCCCCUGGAUUCCUCUGAGUUGUAACAGUUAUCCUGGAACCAUCACAUUCAAUAUGUCUGCAGCAAAGUGACGAAAUGUGUUGGUAUCAGGGGGUUGGCAUCAGGGGGUUGGCAUCAGGGGGGUUGGCAUCAGGGGUUGGCAUCAGGGGGUUGGCAUCAGGGGGUUGGUUCAUCAGGCUUCUUAACUCUAUAUUAGAGCUUCAUUUACCCAGAUCUCAGUCACUGUAAUAUUGUCUGUGCAUAUGCCUCCUACCUACACCCUCAUUAUACAAAAUACAUUUACAAGACAACCCACCUCCUCUCUAAUUACCUGGCUCCACCUGCACCUUUGUUUAAGAAACUCAAUAUUCUGUCUACUUAGGACAUUAAUGUACACCAAUUCGUACAAAUACUCAUACCUCGAAGACAGUUUACCUACACCCUUCAAUGGAUUCUUCUAGGUCCCAGUUUACCUAAACCCUUCAAUGGAUUCUUCAGGUCCCAGACAGUUUACCUAAACCCUUCAAUGGAUUCUUCUAGGUCCCAGUUUACCUAAACCCUUCAAUGGAUUCUUCUAGGUCCCAGUUUACCUACACCCUUCAAUGGAUUCUUCUAGGUCCCAGUUUACCUAAACCCUUCAAUGGAUUCUACCAGGUCCCAGACAGUUCACCUACACCCUUCAAUGGAUUCUUCUAGGUCCCAGUUUACCUAAACCCUUCAAUGGAUUCUUCUAGGUCCCAGUUUACCUACACCCUUCAAUGGAUUCUACCAGGUCCCAGUUUACCUAAACCCUUCAAUGGAUUCUACCAGGUCCCAGUUCACCUAAACCCUUCAAUGGAUUCUUCUAGGUCCCAGUUUUCCUACACCCUUCAAUGGAUUCUUCUAGGUCCCAGUUCACCUAAACCCUUCAAUGGAUUCUUCUAGGUCCCAGUUCACCUAAACCCUUCAAUGGAUUCUACCAGGUCCCAGUUCACCUACACCCUUCAAUGGAUUCUUCUAGGUCCCAGUUUACCUAAACCCUUCAAUGGAUUCUUCUAGGUCCCAGUUUACCUAAACACUUCAAUGGAUUCUUCUAGGUCCCAGUUUACCUAAACCCUUCAAUGGAUUCUACCAGGUCCCAGACAGUUCACCUACACCCUUCAAUGGAUUCUUCUAGGUCCCAGUUUCCCUAAACCCUUCAAUGGAUUCUUCUAGGUCCCAGUUUACCUAAACCCUUCAAUGGAUUCUUCUAGGUCCCAGUUUACCUAAACCCUUCAAUGGAUUCUACCAGGUCCCAGACAGUUCACCUACACCCUUCAAUGGAUUCUUCUAGGUCCCAGUUUACCUAAACCCUUCAAUGGAUUCUACCAGGUCCUAGUUCACCUACACCCUUCAAUGGAUUCUUCUAGGUCCCAGUUUACCUAAACCCUUCAAUGGAUUCUACCAGGUCCCAGUUUCCCUAAACCCUUCAAUGGAUUCUUCUAGGUCCCAGUUUACCUAAACCCUUCAAUGGAUUCUACCAGGUCCCAGUUUACCUAAACCCUUCAAUGGAUUCUACCAGGUCCCAGUUCACCUAAACCCUUCAAUGGAUUCUUCUAGGUCCCAGUUCACCUAAACCCUUCAAUGGAUUUUUCUAGGUCCCAGUUUUCCUACACCCUUCAAUGGAUUCUUCUAGGUCCCAGUUUUCGUACACCCUUCAAUGGAUUCUUCUAGGUCCCAGUUCACCUAAACCCUUCAAUGGAUUCUUCUAGGUCCCAGUUUACCUAAACCCUUCAAUGGAUUCUUCUAGGUCCCAGUUUACCUACACCCUUCAAUGGAUUCUACCAGGUCCCAGUUUACCUAAACCCUUCAAUGGAUUCUACCAGGUCCCAGUUCACCUAAACCCUUCAAUGGAUUCUUCUAGGUCCCAG